Molecule: ribosomal RNA, 507 nt
Filed under: uncultured bacterium
Lineage: Bacteria
Description: partial 16S ribosomal RNA
Rfam family: Bacterial small subunit ribosomal RNA
Source: RNAcentral
AUUGAACGCUAGCGGCAUGCCUAACACAUGCAAGUCGAACGGCAGCACGGUGCGUAGCAAUACGCAUGGGUGGCGAGUGGCGGACGGGUGAGUAACGCGUAGGAAUUUUCCUUAAAGUGGGGGAUAACCCGAGGAAACUCGGGCCAAUACCGCAUAAUCUCUACGGAGCAAAGAGGGGGAUCGUAAGACCUCUCGCUUCACGAUACGCAUGCGUCGGAUUAGCUUGUUGGUAGGGUAAAGGCCUACCAAGGCGAUGAUUCGUAGCUGGUCUGAGAGGACGACCAGCCACACUGGGACUGAGACACGGCCCAGACUCCUACGGGAGGCAGCAGUGGGGAAUAUUGGACAAUGGGGGCAACCCUGAUCCAGCAAUGCCGCGUGUGUGAAGAAGUCCUUCGGGUUGUAAAGCACUUUUAGUGGGGAAGAAAAAGUUAGAGUUAAUACCUCUAUCGUUGACGUUACCCACAGAAGAAGCACUGGCUAACUCUGUGCCAGCCGCCGCAGUAA